AUGAGGGCCCAAACACAGCUACUGGGAUUCCUAAUGAUCUGCCUUAUAGGUGCCAGAUGUGACAUCCAAUUGACCCAGUCUCCAUCCUCCUUGUCUGCAUCUCUGGGAGAAAGUGUUACUAUCACAUGCCAAGCAAGUGACUAUAUAUAUGGUGCUUUAGCAUGGUAUCAGCAGAAACCAGGGAAAUCUCUUAAGUUCCUGAUCUAUGAUGCAAGAAGGUUGGCAGAUGGUGUGCAAUCAAGGUUCGUGGGCAGUGGAGAUGCUAGAGACUAUUCUCUUGAGAUCAGCAGUGUGCAGUCUGACGAUGCUGCCACUUAUUACUGUCUACAGAGUAAGGGUUCACCUCCCACAGUGAAUCAAGUCAUGACAUAA
This is a non-coding RNA of Alexandromys fortis (reed vole), 372 nucleotides long. Lineage: Eukaryota; Metazoa; Chordata; Mammalia; Rodentia; Cricetidae. The record is from the annotation of a RefSeq genome assembly.